CAAGUUUGGUUGAACUAAAGAGGACUGCUAAUUACUCAUAUCGCGGCUUGACUCCGCGACAAACUUG
RNAcentral lists this transfer RNA (67 nucleotides) under Leptobrachella alpina. RNAcentral describes it as "tRNA-Ser". Lineage: Eukaryota; Metazoa; Chordata; Amphibia; Anura; Megophryidae. The record is from RNAcentral.